This 520-nucleotide ribosomal RNA is filed under the name uncultured Glomus. RNAcentral's name for it is "SSU rRNA". It matches the Rfam family "Eukaryotic small subunit ribosomal RNA", at positions 569 to 1093 of the family's 1831-position model. Lineage: Eukaryota; Fungi; Glomeromycota; Glomeromycetes; Glomerales; Glomeraceae. The record is from RNAcentral.
AGCAGCCGCGGUAAUUCCAGCUCCAAUAGCGUAUAUUAAAGUUGCUGCAGUUAAAAAGCUCGUAGUUGAAUUUCGGGACUAAUAUGUCGGUCGUGCCUCGGUACGUACUGGUUUAUUGGUUUCUCCUUUCUGAAGAACCAUGAUGUCAUUUAUUUGGUGUCGUGGGGAAUCAGGACUGUUACUUUGAAAAAAUUAGAGUGUUUAAAGCAGGCUCACGCUUGAAUACAUUAGCAUGGAAUAAUGAAAUAGGACGUUUGAUUCUAUUUUGUUGGUUUCUAGGAUCGACGUAAUGAUUAAUAGGGAUAGUUGGGGGCAUUAGUAUUCAAUUGUCAGAGGUGAAAUUCUUGGAUUUAUUGAAGACUAACUACUGCGAAAGCAUUUGCCAAGGAUGUUUUCAUUAAUCAAGAACGAAAGUUAGGGGAUCGAAGACGAUCAGAUACCGUCGUAGUCUUAACCAUAAACUAUGCGACUAGGGAUCGGAUGAUGUAAUUUUUUAAUGUACUCAUUCGGCGCCUUACGG